This is a non-coding RNA of Pelobates cultripes (western spadefoot toad), 246 nucleotides long. Lineage: Eukaryota; Metazoa; Chordata; Amphibia; Anura; Pelobatidae. The record is from the annotation of a GenBank genome assembly.
CCUCACUCUAGUGACAGAGUGAGGGAGGGAGGUGGUGACUAGUGACAGAGUGAGGGAGGUGGUGAUUAGUGACAGAGGGGGGGAUGGGGUGACUAGUGACAGUCACCACCUCCUUCACUCUUUCACUAGUCACCCCCUUCCUCACUCUGUCACUAGUCACCCCCUUCCUUCCCUCACUCUGCCACUAGUCACCCCUUCCCUCACUCUGUCCCUAGUCACCCCCUCACUCUCUCACUAGAGUGAGGG